AACCUUUAGCCAAACAAAUAUUAAAGGCAACGCCUGCCCAGUGAACAAUUAAACGGCCGCGGUACCCUAACCGUGCAAAGGUAGCGCAAUCACUUGUCUAUUAAUUGUAGACCCGUAUGAAAGGCAAAAUGAAGGUCUAACUGUCUCUUAUAAUAAAUCAAUUAAACUGAUCCCCCAGUCCAAAAGCUGGGAUAUCAACAUAAGACCAGAAGACCCUGUGAAGCUUUAACUAAACUAUUAAACCACCUAGUAGAUACUUUAGGUUGGGGCGACCUUGGAAAAAAAAAGAACUUCCAAAUACCACGACACUACCCCGUACUAUAUAGGCCAACAAGCCAAACACUGACCCAGCAAAGCUGAUAAUUGAACCAAGUUACUCCAGGGAUAACAGCGCUAUCUUCCUCAAGAGCCCAUAUCAAAAGGAAGGUUUACGACCUCGAUGUUGGAUCAGGACAUCCUAAUGGUGCAGCAGCUAUUAAGGGUUCGUUUGUUCAACGAUUAACAGUCCC
This 509-nucleotide ribosomal RNA is filed under the name Polemon collaris. RNAcentral's name for it is "partial 16S ribosomal RNA". It matches the Rfam family "Bacterial large subunit ribosomal RNA", at positions 1816 to 2597 of the family's 2925-position model. Lineage: Eukaryota; Metazoa; Chordata; Lepidosauria; Squamata; Lamprophiidae. The record is from RNAcentral.